This 419-nucleotide ribosomal RNA is filed under the name uncultured Agrobacterium sp. Its description in RNAcentral is "bacterial SSU rRNA". It matches the Rfam family "Bacterial small subunit ribosomal RNA", at positions 8 to 457 of the family's 1533-position model. Lineage: Bacteria; Pseudomonadati; Pseudomonadota; Alphaproteobacteria; Hyphomicrobiales; Rhizobiaceae. The record is from RNAcentral.
AGAGUUUGAUCCUGGCUCAGAACGAACGCUGGCGGCAGGCUUAACACAUGCAAGUCGAACGCCCCGCAAGGGGAGUGGCAGACGGGUGAGUAACACGUGGGAACAUGCCCAAAGGUACGGAACAACUCCGGGAAACUGGAGCUAAUACCGUAUGUGCCCGAGAGGGGAAAGAUUUAUCGCCUUUGGAUUGGCCCGCGUUGGAUUAGCUAGUUGGUGGGGUAAAAGCCUACCAAGGCGACGAUCCAUAGCUGGUCUGAGAGGACGACCAGCCACACUGGGACUGAGACACGGCCCAGACUCCUACGGGAGGCAGCAGUGGGGAAUCUUGGACAAUGGGCGCAAGCCUGAUCCAGCCAUGCCGCGUGGAUGAUGAAGGCCCUAGGGUUGUAAAAUCCUUUCGUUGGGGACGAUAAUGACGG